UUCACCAUCCUGAAAACCCCCCAGGUGACAGUAGGGGCAGGAUUUCCCCCAUGUCCCUUCCCAUCCUGAGGAUAUGUUUUUUUCAGAGUCCAAUUUAGGCUCAAAUCCUGGCCCUGGGAUCUUCUUUGUGACAGGUAUCCUCAGUUUCAUCUUUGGACCCUGCAUCUUCCUUUUUCUCAUUUUCCUGGUGAUUCGGCCAUGCAGAAAGAAAAUAAAAUGCGAAGGUUGGUUUUCACGGUCUUCAGAGAAAGAAGGUCUGGAAGAGGAGAAACUCCUGAAUGAAGAAGAGCUUGUAUGUGAGAAUGUUGAGAUUGGAGUCAAUGGGGUGUCAUUUGAAGAACAAAUAUGCCUGUAUUGAAACUCCUAUUACAUUUUGGUCCAGGCUAGACGUUCAGAAAAUAUCACUGCUUACAUCAGGAUAGGACAGUGCUAACUUGUGGUCUAUCUUUAUAUAAAAUGUCCAAUAAUAAAUACUUGGGUCCUUCCAGACCA
This is a long non-coding RNA of Panthera uncia (snow leopard), 492 nucleotides long. RefSeq lists it as uncharacterized. The record is from RefSeq and is a predicted model, not a curated record. The transcript has 2 exons. NCBI's taxonomy places the organism in Eukaryota, Metazoa, Chordata, Mammalia, Carnivora, Felidae.